This 402-nucleotide ribosomal RNA is filed under the name uncultured bacterium. RNAcentral describes it as "bacterial SSU rRNA". It matches the Rfam family "Bacterial small subunit ribosomal RNA", at positions 355 to 774 of the family's 1533-position model. The record is from RNAcentral.
UGGGGAAUCUUGCACAAUGGGGGCAACCCUGAUGCAGCGACGCCGCGUGAGCGAUGAAGCCCUUCGGGGCGUAAAGCUCUUUCGACCGGAACGAUAAUGACGGUACCGGGAGAAGAAGCUGCGGCUAACUACGUGCCGGCAGCCGCGGUAAUACGUAGGCAGCAAGCGUUGUUCGGAGUUACUGGGUGUAAAGAGUGCGUAGGCGGUUUUCUAAGUUCGGUGUGAAAUCUCCCGGCUUAACUGGGAGGGUGCGCCGAAGACUGGGAAGCUGGAGUGUGGGAAAGGCAGGCGGAAUUCCUGGUGUAGCGGUGAAAUGCGUAGAUAUCAGGAGGAACACCGGCGGUGUAGACGGCUUGCUAGACCAUAACUGACGCUGAGGCACGAAAGCGUGGGUAGCAAACG